Long non-coding RNA from Triticum aestivum (bread wheat), 655 nucleotides. RefSeq lists it as uncharacterized. The record is from RefSeq and is a predicted model, not a curated record. The transcript has 2 exons. NCBI's taxonomy places the organism in Eukaryota, Viridiplantae, Streptophyta, Magnoliopsida, Poales, Poaceae.
AUGACCAUAGUAAUACAAUCAGUAUCGCCCCCUCUCCAUCAAAUUAUAUGAGUAUGUGUCUUAUUCUCCCAUCCAAUAUAUCUGCUCGAAUUAUGUGUUUAUUUGCUGUUUUCAUAUAGAACUUCUGUUCUUGUAUAAUAUUUUAACAUCACUGGCAAUCAUUGUUAGGGUGCGGUGAUGGUUGGCAUUCUGUUUGAUGCGGGCUGCAUCUACUCCCACGACAACGGUCAGCAACUAGGUGUUCACCAUCGGAGUUCUUCAGUAUCGCCCCCUCUCCGUCAUGAUACGAUGUUGCUUCCAACUCAUGGAUAUGAAUGUUCCAGUCGCCGGAGAGAUUGUUGGACAGAUGAAAUUGAUGAGAAAUCUUUGCCCCCCUGCAAAUUAAGCAGCUUGAAGACCAAGCUCAAACCUGUACGAUGGCACUGAAGUUGCGCCUCCAAAUCUCUUUGCAUCUUGAUGUAAUUAGCCCAGUAGUAUUCAGUUCUGUAGUAAUGAUUUGUGAUUUUUCCUGCUGCUGGUUACCGAGUGCCAAGUGGCAUUUAGUUUCUCCAAAGGAAUUUCAUUUGUACUCGUAUGGAUGAUUUUUAUUACGUGAGAUAUUUUGUGGAAUCAUCAGUUUUUUUUCUACAUGGAAUAUAUUUAUUUGGCUUUGUUA